UACGGGGGGGGCAAGCGUUGUUCGGAAUUACUGGGCGUAAAGGGCUCGUAGGUGGCCAACUAAGUCAGACGUGAAAUCCCUCAGCUUAACUGGGGAACUGCGUCUGAUACUGGAUGGCUUGAGUUUGGGAGAGGGAUGCGGAAUUCCAGGUGUAGCGGUGAAAUGCGUAGAUAUCUGGAGGAACACCGGUGGCGAAGGCGGCAUCCUGGACCAACACUGACGCUCAGGCACGAAAGCGUGGGGAGCAAACAGG
This 253-nucleotide ribosomal RNA is filed under the name uncultured bacterium. Its description in RNAcentral is "partial 16S ribosomal RNA". It matches the Rfam family "Bacterial small subunit ribosomal RNA", at positions 524 to 776 of the family's 1533-position model. The record is from RNAcentral.